ACACCUAUAUCGCAAUGGUGUAUGCGGGCAUCCGCGCAACUUGAAGGCAAACAGCGUUUUGGACGGGGGUUCGAUUCCCCCCACCUCCACCAAAUGCCGCAAUGGAAGGGCGCUUGCCAUCCGGCAUCUGAAGGGGGUGACCUGGUUUCGACAAAGCGGCCAGUACCCGGAGACACACCACGUCAGGCGACCGACGUAAACAGCGCGAAAUCCUGAUUGCAAAUGAAUCGCAAUUUAUUGCUUACGGUACCUGAUUACCGCUAGCCGAGUUGCCGGCCCCUUCUCGCGAAGGCUUGGGAACAGAAAGGCCGGCCCGAUUUCC
This 322-nucleotide transfer-messenger RNA is filed under the name Herbaspirillum seropedicae. It matches the Rfam family "Betaproteobacteria transfer-messenger RNA". From Rfam's summary of the family: Bacterial tmRNA, also known as 10Sa RNA or SsrA, is named for its dual tRNA and mRNA-like properties. Its role is to liberate the mRNA from a stalled ribosome. RNAcentral also lists the same sequence under 1 other name. The record is from RNAcentral. Lineage: Bacteria; Pseudomonadati; Pseudomonadota; Betaproteobacteria; Burkholderiales; Oxalobacteraceae.